RNAcentral lists this ribosomal RNA (339 nucleotides) under Triticum aestivum (bread wheat). RNAcentral describes it as "partial small subunit ribosomal RNA". Lineage: Eukaryota; Viridiplantae; Streptophyta; Magnoliopsida; Poales; Poaceae. The record is from RNAcentral.
AUGGGGUAUUAUCUUGCAGAUGGUAUCUAUCCACGGUGGGCAACAUUUGUGAAGAGCAUACCAGCUCCAGAUACCAGAAAACAUAAAACUUUUGCCAAGAGGCAAGAGGGGGCUAGGAAAGAUGUGGAACGAGCCUUUGGAGUUCUUCAAUCCCGUUUUGCCAUUGUUCGUGGACCUGCUAAAGGAUGGAAACGUAAUGAAAUCGGUGAUGUCAUGAAAGCUUGUGUCAUAAUGCACAAUAUGAUAGUUGAAGAGGAGCGACAAACUGGUCGGCAAAGCUGCACUUUUGAGGCAAUGGGAAAAGAGUCACGGUCUCUCGUACUCAUGCGGAACAACUGA